GGCUUUGGGAGCGUGCACUGCCUCUGUGAGACCGUAGCAAGACGGACUAYWGCGAAAGCAUUUGGCAAGAAUGUCUUCAUUAAUCAAGAACGAAAGUCAGAGGUUCGAAGGCGAUCAGAUACCGCCCUAGUUCUGACCGUAAACGAUGCCAACUAGCGAUCCGCCGGCGGAUUUAUUCGCCCUGGUGGGGAGCUUCCCGGAAACGAAAGUCUUCCGGUUCCGGGGGAAGUAUGGUUGCAAAGCUGAAACUUAAAGGAAUUGACGGAAGGGCACCACCAGGAGUGGAGCCUGCGGCUUAAUUUGACUCAACACGGGGAAACUCACCCGGCCCGGACACCGUAAGGAUUGACAGAUUGAUAGCUUUUUCAUGAUUCGGUGGAUGGUGGUGCAUGGCCGUUCUUAGUUCGUGGAGCGAUUUGUCUGGUUUAUUCCGAUAACGAGCGAGACUCUAGCCUACUAAAUAGUUGGCUCAUUGCUACUGUGGGCACAACUUCUUAGAGGGAUUUUCGGUGUUCAGCCGCACGAAAUUGAGCAAUAACAGGUCUGUGAUGCCCUUAGAUGUCCGGGGCUGCACGCGCGCUACACUGGCAAAAUCAGCGUGCUUGUCCUUCCCCGAAAGGGGUUGGUAAACCGGUGAAAAUUUGCCGUGAUUGGGAUCGGACAUUGCAAUUAUUGUCCGUGAACGAGGAAUUCCUUGUAGGGGCGAGUCAUCAACUCGCUCUGAUUACGUCCUCCCC
This 737-nucleotide ribosomal RNA is filed under the name Punctodera stonei. Its description in RNAcentral is "SSU rRNA". It matches the Rfam family "Eukaryotic small subunit ribosomal RNA", at positions 909 to 1678 of the family's 1831-position model. Lineage: Eukaryota; Metazoa; Nematoda; Chromadorea; Rhabditida; Heteroderidae. The record is from RNAcentral.